Long non-coding RNA from Harmonia axyridis, 474 nucleotides. RefSeq lists it as uncharacterized. The record is from RefSeq and is a predicted model, not a curated record. Lineage: Eukaryota; Metazoa; Arthropoda; Insecta; Coleoptera; Coccinellidae. The transcript is spliced from 2 exons.
UUUGAUGGUACGAUAAAGGUUAUAACUGUUCAUUUCUAAUUAUUGAAUCGAAGAUUCACAUUAUUUGCAUUCUGGAAAAAAAAAAUUGAUUUCAGUAUGAUUCUCGUUGUUUACUUCCUCAUAGUAGCCACAAUUUUCUCAGUCAAUGCUUACUACGAUGGUGAUCUUGUGACUAGAUUGUAUGAUACAGGCGACCUUCAUCCUGCAGACGAACACACUAUGUGGCAGGUCAACCCCAAGCUCAGCAAAGAUUAUCGAGGUAAUACUUUUCUAGCUCUCAAAUUGAUGAAAAAAUUUGGGAGUGAUGCAGUCAAACUCCAGAUUAAAAAAAUUCUUUAUGGGCCAGAUGACCAAGGAAGGGUGAAGGUAUCUGGUGCUUUCGAUUGGAAUAUAUGAGUCCUAUAUGCAAAUCAAUACCUUUUCGAAUUGUUAAAUAUUAAUUGAUUCAGAAUUAUACAUUCAUAAUUUAUUGUA